GGACAACCAUCACUGCAGGAUCUUACCACACUGCCUGGUACGUUUUUUUUUUUGCGGCACAAACUACACAGCCACCACAAGCAUGGGCCAUCUCAGUUUCCACUCCUCACCAUGUUGCCACAUCCACCGCCACAACCACCACAUCCACCACAACCCCCACAACCACCACUAUUUCCACUCUUCAUUGUGUCACCACACCCACUGUCACCAGAGUUUCCACUCCUCACCAUGUUGCCACAUCCACCGCCACAUCCACCGCCACAUCCACCACAACCACCACUAUUUCCACUCUUCAUUGUGUCACCACACCCACUGUCACCAGAGUUUCCACUCACCAUGUCCCCGCAUCCACUGCCACAACCACCACAACCACCACCACAGUUUCCACUCCUCACCAUGUCCCCGCAUCCACUGCCACAACCGCCACAACCGCCACCACAAUUUCCACUCCUCACUAUGCUUCCUUUAGCCACGUCCAC
Molecule: long non-coding RNA, 479 nt
Filed under: Populus trichocarpa (black cottonwood)
Lineage: Eukaryota; Viridiplantae; Streptophyta; Magnoliopsida; Malpighiales; Salicaceae
Description: long non-coding RNA (PTRI_LNC003429)
Source: RNAcentral